GCAGUCGAGCGAAUGGAUUAGAGAGCUUGCUCUUAUGAAGUUAGCGGCGGACGGGUGAGUAACACGUGGGUAACCUGCCCAUAAGACUGGGAUAACUCCGGGAAACCGGGGCUAAUACCGGAUAACAUUUUGAACUGCAUGGUUCGAAAUUGAAAGGCGGCUUCGGCUGUCACUUAUGGAUGGACCCGCGUCGCAUUAGCUAGUU
This 205-nucleotide ribosomal RNA is filed under the name Bacillus sp. R7. RNAcentral describes it as "partial 16S ribosomal RNA". It matches the Rfam family "Bacterial small subunit ribosomal RNA", at positions 60 to 250 of the family's 1533-position model. The record is from RNAcentral. Lineage: Bacteria; Bacillati; Bacillota; Bacilli; Caryophanales; Bacillaceae.